GUUGAACGCUGGCGGCGUGCCUAACACAUGCAAGUCGAGCGAACAGACGAGGCUUGCGCCUGGCUUCAGCGACGGGCGGGUGAGUAAUUACUAGGAGUCUACCUGGCAGUGGGGGAUAGCAUACGGUAACGAGAGCUAAUACAACAUACGUCCUGAGAGAGAACGUCGGGGAUCUUCAGACCUAACGCUAUCAGAUGAGCCUAGGACGGAUUAGCUAGUUGGUGGGGUAAAGGCUUACCAAGGCGACGAUCCGUAGCUGGCCUGAGAGGAUGAUCAGUCACACUGGAACUGAGACACGGUCCAGACUCCUACGGGAGGCAGCAGUGGGGAAUCUUGCGCAAUGGGCGAAAGCCUGACGGAGCAACGCCGCGUGUGUGAUGAAGGUCUUCGGAUCGUAAAGCACUGUAAGUUGGGAGGAAGGGCAGUAAGAGUAUCUCUGGCCGUCUUGACGUUACCAACAGAAAAAGCCCCGGCUAACUUCGUG
RNAcentral lists this ribosomal RNA (484 nucleotides) under uncultured bacterium. RNAcentral describes it as "partial 16S ribosomal RNA". It matches the Rfam family "Bacterial small subunit ribosomal RNA", at positions 28 to 507 of the family's 1533-position model. The record is from RNAcentral.